This is a small nucleolar RNA of Bubo bubo (Eurasian eagle-owl), 132 nucleotides long. The record is from Ensembl. Lineage: Eukaryota; Metazoa; Chordata; Aves; Strigiformes; Strigidae.
AAAGCAGGCUGCAAUUGCAGUGCUUCAUUCUGUGGGAGCACUGCCAUUUUCCUGCUGAGAGUAACCCUGUUAAUGCUGUCUUCGGUUUCGCCUAUACGGUGGUGAAACUGUUUGUUCUUGACAUGUACAAGU